UGGGGAAUAUUGGGCAAUGGGGGAAACCCUGACCCAGCAACGCCGCGUGAGGGAAGAAGGUUUUCGGAUUGUAAACCUCUGUCCUUGGUGAAGAAAGAGAUGACGGUAGCCAAGGAGGAAGCCCCGACUAACUACGUGCCAGCAGCCGCGGUAAUACGUAGGGGGCAAGCGUUGUCCGGAAUGACUGGGCGUAAAGGGCGCGUAGACGGCUGUCUAAGUCUGGAGUGAAAGUCCUGCUUUCAAGGUGGGAAUUGCUUUGGAGACUGGUUGGCUUGAGUGCGGAAGAGGCAAGUGGAAUUCCCAGUGUAGCGGUGAAAUGCGUAGAGAUUGGGAGGAACACCAGUGGCGAAGGCGACUUGCUGGGCCGUAACUGACGCUGAGGCGCGAAAGCGUGGGGAGCGAACAGG
This 407-nucleotide ribosomal RNA is filed under the name uncultured prokaryote. Its description in RNAcentral is "bacterial SSU rRNA". It matches the Rfam family "Bacterial small subunit ribosomal RNA", at positions 355 to 776 of the family's 1533-position model. RNAcentral also lists the same sequence under 1 other name. The record is from RNAcentral.